Phyllostomus discolor (pale spear-nosed bat) is the source of this 317-nucleotide long non-coding RNA. RefSeq lists it as uncharacterized. The transcript is spliced from 3 exons. The record is from RefSeq and is a predicted model, not a curated record. Lineage: Eukaryota; Metazoa; Chordata; Mammalia; Chiroptera; Phyllostomidae.
GCAGUAUGAGAUCUGAUUCCCACAAACAAGGCUUCAAAGAGUUCCCUACACUAUUGUUUAAUUAAAAAAAAAAAACCCUGAACAUUUCUGAUGCAUCUCAGUUUGUCCACCCAUUUGAACUCUCAUGUGCAGAAAAAGGUUAUAAUUUUGGCUAAAAGAUUUCUGACAUUAACUAUACUUAUAUGGCCUUUCUCCUGUGUGAAGUCUCUCAUGAUGAAGUAGUUGAUACUUUUGGAUGACUGCACUUAUAAGGCCUUUCUCCUGUGUGAACUGUCUGAUAACGAUAAAGGUGAGAUUUUCUUUUAAAAGAUUUCCCA